Molecule: ribosomal RNA, 497 nt
Filed under: uncultured bacterium
Lineage: Bacteria
Description: partial 16S ribosomal RNA
Rfam family: Bacterial small subunit ribosomal RNA
Source: RNAcentral
GAUGAACGCUGGCGGCGUGCCUAAUACAUGCAAGUCGAGCGAACGGACGAGAAGCUUGCUUUUCUGAUGUUAGCGGCGGACGGGUGAGUAACACGUGGAUAACCUACCUAUAAGACUGGGAUAACUUCGGGAAACCGGAGCUAAUACCGGAUAAUAUUUUGAACCGCAUGGUUCAAAAGUGAAAGACGGUCUUGCUGUCACUUAUAGAUGGAUCCGCGCUGCAUUAGCUAGUUGGUAAGGUAACGGCUUACCAAGGCAACGAUGCAUAGCCGACCUGAGAGGAUGAUCGGCCACACUGGAACUGAGACACGGUCCAGACUCCUACGGGAGGCAGCAGUAGGGAAUCUUCCACAAUGGGCGAAAGCCUGACGGAGCAACGCCGCGUGAGUGAUGAAGGUCUUCGGAUCGUAAAGCUCUGUUAUUAGGGAAGAACAUAUGUGUAAGUAACUGUGGACAUCUUGACGGUACCUAAUGAGAAAGCCACGGCUAACUACGUG